This 1496-nucleotide long non-coding RNA is filed under the name Lotus japonicus. RNAcentral describes it as "long non-coding RNA (LJAP_LNC001231)". Lineage: Eukaryota; Viridiplantae; Streptophyta; Magnoliopsida; Fabales; Fabaceae. The record is from RNAcentral.
CAUGUUUUACUUAUAACAAGAAGAAAGUCCCUUUUCUAUUUUAUUUGAUGAUGUUCGAUUAUUUGUUGGAUAGUAAUUUUAACUUUAUAUUUUCCUUUUCAAUUUAUAUAACCUAUAAAUCUGUCAUCUCAGAAAUGUGGAGACAAGUGCUUGCUUUACUUGAAAAAGUCAUAGAGAAAUUGUGAAAGCCAUAAUUUUAUGUAAAUUAUAUGAACUGAUAAGGAUUCUUUAAUUCCGCUAUUUCUCUAUUGAGAGUCCCACAUUAACUAGAGAUGUGACCAAAUAAUCAUUAUAAAGGCUAGAGCAAUCCUCACUUUUAAGCUAGCUUUUGAUGUAUAGCUGCUACCACUACUAAUCCUUCUGUCCCUUUGGCUUUUUUCAGAGGAAUAUAAAGUUUUGGUUAAUUUCAAAGUGAGAGAGAAUGAGAGAGGGAACUCAGUUUUUUGGGGGAUGUGAAGAGUGAGCAGUGGAUGAAUGAGAAAAUGCAUUGACAAUCUUUGUUACUUACUCACUACUCAACUGUGUUUGUUUCUAUGUUCAUUUCUUCACUCUUUCUCUCUCUUUAAUCAUUAUCAUCAUCACCAUCAUAUUCUUCUUCUUACCUUCAAUCUUCUUGCCUUAUUAGAUUCUUCUUUCUCUUAGAUUUUUUCCAACUCAAGUUAUUCCCUUUCUUUUCUCUUCUUUCUUUCUCACUCACUUUGUUUCUAACAUGACUUCCUAGAAAGUGGUUUCUCACUUUCUCUAAGUUUGUUUUAAUUUUACCUUAAAAUCGAUUCUAAGUUACAACUUAUAGUUUGUGACUUAUCUCAAGAUGUUUCUUGUGCAUUUUGGCAUUGAAUGAGCAUAAGGUUGCAAGGUGAAUUUGGAACCUCUAAAUGUGAUAACAUAUUGAUUAAGCAUGAGUAUAGAUGUCCACCUUGUGACAUAUGUAUAUCGUUCCAAAAAUAAUUUAGCCACUAGAUUUGCAUUAAAAUCUUAUAAUGGUAGACUAUGACAUAUCUUUUUUGUACAAUUUUAUUGAUUGGUAGCGGGACACAGCUUCUUUAAAAAGAGUACUUAUAAGUUAUAAUUCUUAUGUGCAGGUAUAUAUGAGAAUCCACACAAAUAAAAAUAGUUGUCAUCAUGGUUGAUACACCAUAAUAAAAAAUUUGUGGGAUCUUGAUACAAAGAGGUGGCUGUCUUGUGGAUUAUAGACAUCUCCUUGAUGUGCUUUGUUGUGAAUUGGAUGUGCUUUGUGGUGAGCUAUAGUCUGUGGUUUUCUGUGAACUGUUAUGGGAUGUAGUGUUAUAGGUGUUAUGUUCGUUAUGCUUUUUAUUCUACUCUGCGUUUUCUUUUUUCUUGACCAUAAGUUUAUAUUUUUCUGCCCUGUUGGUUUCAAUAGUUUUUUUUUAUUUCAGAGUCAAUGUAUGAGGAAGAAGUUGAUUGAAGAGUUAAGACCAGUAAAGGAAUUGAGAGAGGGAGAGAAAAAAUCGUAGGAAUGAAACAAGGAAUACAGU